Molecule: ribosomal RNA, 515 nt
Filed under: uncultured bacterium
Lineage: Bacteria
Description: partial 16S ribosomal RNA
Rfam family: Bacterial small subunit ribosomal RNA
Source: RNAcentral
GAUGAACGCUGGCGGCGUGCCUAAUACAUGCAAGUCGAGCGAAUGGAUUAAGAGCUUGCUCUUAUGAAGUUAGCGGCGGACGGGUGAGUAACACGUGGGUAACCUGCCCAUAAGACUGGGAUAACUCCGGGAAACCGGGGCUAAUACCGGAUAACAUUUUGAACCGCAUGGUUCGAAAUUGAAAGGCGGCUUCGGCUGUCACUUAUGGAUGGACCCGCGUCGCAUUAGCUAGUUGGUGAGGUAACGGCUCACCAAGGCAACGAUGCCUAGCCGACCUGAGAGGGUGAUCGGCCACACUGGGACUGAGACACGGCCCAGACUCCUACGGGAGGCAGCAGUAGGGAAUCUCCCGCAAUGGACGAAAGUCUGACGGAGCAACGCCGCGCGAGUGAUGAAGGCUUUCGGGUCGUAAAACUCUGUUGUUAGGGAAGAACAAGUGCUAGUUGAAUAAGCUGGCACCUUGACGGUACCUAACCAGAAAGCCACGGCUAACUACGUGCCAGCCGCCGCAGUAA